CCAAAACUUGUGAAGGGUCUCAAGCAUCUGGCUAAGUCAGACCCCAUGGUGCAGUGCAUCAUUGAGGAAUCUGGAGAACAUAUUGUUGCUGGAGCUGGAGAGCUGCAUUUGGAAAUCUGCUUGAAGGAUCUAGAGGAGGACCAUGUCUGCAAUCCAAUUAAGAAUCUGACCCAGUUGUUUCCUACCAUGAAACUGUAAAUGAAGAGUCAAACCAGCUGUGCCUGUCAAAGUCUCCUAACAAGCAUAACCGUGUGUAUAUAGAGGUCCGUCUAUUCACUGAUGGCCUUGCUGAGGAUAUUGACAAAGGAGACGUGAGUACCCGCCUAGAGUUGAAGAUUCAUGCCUUUUACUUGGCAGAGAAAUAUGAGUGGGAUGUUACAGAGGCUAGGAAGAUCUGGU
Non-coding RNA from Pelobates cultripes (western spadefoot toad), 399 nucleotides. NCBI's taxonomy places the organism in Eukaryota, Metazoa, Chordata, Amphibia, Anura, Pelobatidae. The record is from the annotation of a GenBank genome assembly.